GUGAACGCUGGCGGUAGGCCUCACACCUGCAAGUCGAACGGCAGCACAGUAAGAGCUUGCUCUUACGGGUGGCGAGUGGCGGACGGGUGAGGAAUACAUCGGAAUCUACUUUUUCGUGGGGGAUAACGUAGGGAAACUUACGCUAAUACCGCAUACGACCUACGGGUGAAAGCAGGGGACCUUCGGACCUUGCGCGAUUGAAUGAGCCGAUGUCGGAUUAGCUAGUUGGCGGGGUAAAGGCCCACCAAGGCGACGAUCCGUAGCUGGUCUGAGAGGAUGAUCAGCCACACUGGAACUGAGACACGGUCCAGACUCCUACGGGAGGCAGCAGUGGGGAAUAUUGGACAAUGGGCGCAAGCCUGAUCCAGCCAUACCGCGUGGGUGAAGAAGGCCUUCGGGUUGUAAAGCCCUUUUGUUGGGAAAGAAAAGCAGCAGGUUAAUACCCCGCUGUUCUGACGGUACCCAAAGAAUAAGCACCGGCUAACUUCGUG
RNAcentral lists this ribosomal RNA (491 nucleotides) under uncultured bacterium. RNAcentral describes it as "partial 16S ribosomal RNA". It matches the Rfam family "Bacterial small subunit ribosomal RNA", at positions 29 to 507 of the family's 1533-position model. The record is from RNAcentral.